CAGCCGCCACGGGAAUACGAGGGAGGCAAGCGUUGUUCGGAAUUAUUGGGCGUAAAGGGUGCGUAGGCGGAUUCUUAAGUCAGAGGUGAAAUCCCAAGGCUCAACCUUGGAACUGCCUUUGAUACUGGGGAUCUCGAGUCCGGGAGAGGUGAGUGGAACUGCGAGUGUAGAGGUGAAAUUCGUAGAUAUUCGCAAGAACACCAGUGGCGAAGGCGGCUCACUGGCCCGGUACUGACGCUGAGGUGCGAAAGCGUGGGGAGCAAACAGGAUUAGAUACCCCUGUAGUCCCUGUCUCUUAUAC
RNAcentral lists this ribosomal RNA (301 nucleotides) under uncultured bacterium. RNAcentral's name for it is "partial 16S ribosomal RNA". It matches the Rfam family "Bacterial small subunit ribosomal RNA", at positions 509 to 807 of the family's 1533-position model. The record is from RNAcentral.